GUGUCAGCCGCCGCGGUAAUACGUAGGGUGCAAGCGUUAAUCGGAAUUACUGGGCGUAAAGCGUGCGCAGGCGGUCUUGCAAGACAGGUGUGAAAUCCCCGGGCUUAACCUGGGAACUGCACUUGUGACUGCAAGGCUGGAGUACGGCAGAGGGGGAUGGAAUUCCGCGUGUAGCAGUGAAAUGCGUAGAUAUGCGGAGGAACACCGAUGGCGAAGGCAAUCCCCUGGGCCUGUACUGACGCUCAUGCACGAAAGCGUGGGGAGCAAACAGGAUUAGAUACCCUGGUAGUCCACGCCCUAAACGAUGUCAACUGGUUGUUGGACGGCUUGCUGUUCAGUAACGAAGCUAACGCGUGAAGUUGACCGCCUGGGGAGUACGGCCGCAAGGUUGAAACUCAAAUGAAUUGACGG
This 411-nucleotide ribosomal RNA is filed under the name uncultured bacterium. RNAcentral's name for it is "bacterial SSU rRNA". It matches the Rfam family "Bacterial small subunit ribosomal RNA", at positions 505 to 916 of the family's 1533-position model. The record is from RNAcentral.